GCUGGGUCGCGCCCCUCUCCAAAAACCUGAGACCUGACCACACCUCUCCAUUGCUCUCCAGGUCACCCAAUUUCCAGCUUUAUACGAAGUACCUCAGGACCUUGGACAAAAAGGAAGGUAGCAGGAUGUAGAUUGAGCCCUGAAUUGGAAGUGUCUGAGUUCCGGAUCUCACAUUCUGCGCUGAACCAAUCAGUAGGACUGUGUGUGUCCUUGGGCAUAUCACCUCCAACAAAGAUGCAUCUCUCCAAACCCCUUUCUGCACCUGUAAGAAAUGAUUACGUGCCAAUUUCACACCAAGUGUCAGACGCUCAUCAAAAACAGAAGCAGAUGGGAUCUUUCAGAUGGGCAUUUCAACCUUGAAACUGAGCAACUCACUCCACUAUUCCAGGAAAGACCUAGGAAAAACCUCCUGUCUGCUUGUUCC
Lontra canadensis (Northern American river otter) is the source of this 424-nucleotide long non-coding RNA. RefSeq lists it as uncharacterized. NCBI's taxonomy places the organism in Eukaryota, Metazoa, Chordata, Mammalia, Carnivora, Mustelidae. The transcript has 3 exons. The record is from RefSeq and is a predicted model, not a curated record.